CGGAGGAUCCAAGCGUUAUCCGGAUUUAUUGGGUUUAAAGGGUGCGUAGGCGGAUUAUUAAGUCAGUGGUGAAAGCCUGCAGCUUAACUGCAGAACUGCCAUUGAUACUGAUGAUCUUGAGUACAGUUGAGGUGGGCGGAAUGUGUCAUGUAGCGGUGAAAUGCUUAGAUAUGACACAGAACACCAAUUGCGAAGGCAGCUCGCUAAACUGUAACUGACGCUGAGGCACGAAAGCGUGGGGAUCAAACAGGAUUAGAUACCCUGGUAGUCCACGCCCUAAACGAUGAUAACUCGAUGUUAGCGAUAUACUGUUAGCGUCUAAGCGAAAGCAUUAAGUUAUCCACCUGGGGAGUACGGUCGCAAGAUUG
Molecule: ribosomal RNA, 368 nt
Filed under: uncultured organism
Description: bacterial SSU rRNA
Rfam family: Bacterial small subunit ribosomal RNA
Source: RNAcentral